GGGGCCGUAGCUCAGCUGGGAGNNUGGGAGAGCGUCGCGUUCGCAAUGCGAAGGUCAGGGGUUCGAUCCCCCUCGGCUCCACCA
RNAcentral lists this transfer RNA (84 nucleotides) under Gammaproteobacteria bacterium. Its description in RNAcentral is "tRNA-Ala". It matches the Rfam family "tRNA". From Rfam's summary of the family: Transfer RNA (tRNA) molecules are approximately 80 nucleotides in length. Their secondary structure includes four short double-helical elements and three loops (D, anti-codon, and T loops). Lineage: Bacteria; Pseudomonadati; Pseudomonadota; Gammaproteobacteria. The record is from RNAcentral.